GACGAACGCUGGCGGCGUGCUUAACACAUGCAAGUCGAACGGAAAGGCCCUGCUUUUGUUGGGUGCUCGAGUGGCGAACGGGUGAGUAACACGUGAGUAACCUGCCCUUUACUUUGGGAUAACUUCAGGAAACUGGGGCUAAUACAGGAUAGGAGCUCCUGCUGCAUGGUGUUGGUUGGAAAGUUUCGGCGGUUGGGGCUGGACUCGCGGCUUAUGAGCUUGUUGGUGGGGUAGGUGCUUACCAAGGCUUUGACGGGUAGCCGGCCUGAGAGGGUGACCGGCCACAUUGGGACUGAGAUAGGGCCCAGACUGCUACGGGAGGCAGCAGUGGGGAAUAUUGCACAAUGGGCGGAAGCCUGAUGCAGCAACGUCGCGUGCGGGAUGACGGCCUUCGGGUUGUAAACCGCUUUCGACUGUGACGAAGAGUGAGUGACGGUAAUGGGUAAAGAAGCACCGGCUAACUACGUG
Molecule: ribosomal RNA, 468 nt
Filed under: uncultured bacterium
Lineage: Bacteria
Description: partial 16S ribosomal RNA
Rfam family: Bacterial small subunit ribosomal RNA
Source: RNAcentral